Gymnogyps californianus (California condor) is the source of this 8231-nucleotide long non-coding RNA. RefSeq lists it as uncharacterized. The record is from RefSeq and is a predicted model, not a curated record. Lineage: Eukaryota; Metazoa; Chordata; Aves; Accipitriformes; Cathartidae. The transcript is spliced from 3 exons.
CCGGGGAGGGAGUUCGGUCCGCUCCCGCCGCCCCCCCGCUUCCCUCCCUCCUUCCCUCCCUCCUUCCGCGCUCGGUACUCGCGGGGAUUCGGCGCAGAGGGGGCCCCGCUCUGCCUGAGGCGAGCGGAGAGGAGAGGUGCCGCCGAGGCCCAGUCAGCCCUGGUCGCAGCGGCGGUUGGGCCGGCUCCUGAGGUGUCCCUCAUCCCCAGGCGGGGAGCAGCCCAGCGCCUCGCCGGGCGGCAGGCUGGGCCUCUUGUCAGCAGCCCGGGAGGUGCUGUAAUGGAGGGUUUCCCACUUGCCGGCGUGGCGCAGCCCCGCGGGGUCCGCCUCCAGCCCGGCAGCGUGGCGAGCUCCUGCCCUGUCCCAGCCGCCCGGCCCGUCUGGUCGCGGCGCUUUGCCCCGAGGCUCCUGCGAGGUGGCGAGCUGCCUCCUCUCUUACUGGCAGGACCUGCUGUGUCUUCUGCUUCGGCCAGUCCUUGGGUAUCUGAUUCACCUCUUCAAAGGGCUAGGAAUGGCUCUUUGCCUCUCUUUCCUCUCAUAGUCCUUAAAGGCUGCAUCUGAGCACCCUCAUCCGCUCCAACUGCUCAACCGCGUUCUCUGCUGGGAUCGUCAGGCUCAUCUCAGCCCCGGAGCCAAAGCACUUGAUUGUCUCCUAACGCAGCCAGACACUGCCAGCUUCCACCAUGCAGUUCAAACGAGUAAACAGAGAUGAACCUGUGCUUUGUACAAAGUUUUAGACAAAUGCUGCAAAUGCUUAGCUGAUGACGAAACGUUAGACAGUAAGCAAAUGUAUUCGCUAGCAGCUACAGCACUGCGGGAUUGGAGCUGCUGUCUGCCAAGGCUGAACCAGAAUGAGAAAUGAAAAUCUGUGUUUGGCCAAGGUUACUGCUUGGCUGCAGUAGCACAAAGUUGGAAUUAGUGGAGACUUUUGUUUUCAUUUUAUCGUUAAAUACUUGCGACGUUUCCCCCCAGAGCUUUUUGCAUCCUUAAAGAAAAUACGGUGUGUAAAUGAUUUCUGUGUCCCAAGGAAUCUCUGAGGCUUUGGCGGGGGGGAUACACAGUAGAAAAGCGUGGCUUGUCGUUGCUGGCGCUGGAGCGCUCUGGGGCGUAGGGGCUUGUUUGACAGUAGCUUUCAGGACAGCUCUGGGCAAGUCACUUGGAGGAGGCUGUGGGAAAUAGUUGUAGUUAUUCUAAGGAGCUUGGGAGUUUGCACAGCAGACUGGUAUGAAAGAGGAAAAGGAUACGGAGUGUGGCUGGAGCAAUCUGAGAAGCAGCCGUGCCUUGGGAAAAGUUCUGCGCUGACCUUUAUGGGGGAUCGUUGUUAAUUUCUGUGUUAAUAACACUGUAACACCCGGGAGGGGAGGAGUUUGGCUUCCACUGUGGGUCUGUGUGGGAAGAGCAGUUCGGGAGUGGUGUAUCCUCUCUCCAAAUAAUCCAGCACAGUUGCACGGAGAGGCACGGCCUCACAGGAGUCAGCUUUUUCUGGGUGCUUCUCCUUCCUGUGCAGCCUGGCACUGUAUUGGCCUCUGCUGCAAAUCAGAGGGCACCUGCUGCGUCUGGGCGCUGGGCUGGCCCCGGGACACUGCUGUACCCGCACUUUUUCAGGAUUUGGUUCUGCGUUGUGUGCAACAAAGAGGAAACUGUUCUUGGUUUGUCACUGGACCUGUCUUUGUGGUAACAGAUGGCUCUGGAUUUCCCAGUGGAACAACUUAGGCUGCUUUUUUAUCUUUUGGAAACUCAGAAGCAAAGUCAGAGGGAAGAAAUAGGCCAGGGAGAGAUGGCUGAUGCAAGCGUGCUUUGGGGCAAGAAAAGGCAGCAGGGAACAGCACAGCAAGAAGUGAGACUACAGACCAGAGUAAUUCCUGGUGGUAACCAGCGGGAGCUGUAGAAGUGUAGGAAAGCAUCAGUCUCCUCGCUCCUGUGAAAGCCUGAUCUUCCUUUUCAUCUAGGUGUAACAGAUUACUCCAAAAUUAGCCUCCUUCCUUUUUCUGGUAACCAAGCCUGUCUUUCUGCAGAGCCUUUUCUGUUCCUAUGAGCUUGCUGGGCUGUAACCAGCAUGCUCUAUGCUGUGUAAUGAUGCAGGAAAUCUUCUGUUGUAAACACCUUACCAGCGGGACACCAGGGUAGCUUUAUUGGCCUAACUAACCAGGCUAGCUGGAGUUAAACCUGCUCAGUUGUUUAUUUACACAUGUAUGCAGCAAGCAGUUAGUACAUUAGAGAGUGUAAAUGAGUAACUUAGAAAAAUCACAGAAUUGUGUUUGAGCAGGAUUGUCCUUCCUAAACUGCUAAUUUGUUUAAGUAUUUUUCUGUGAACAGUUCUUGAUUUGCCUCAGUCUUUUUGUUUAGAGCAGUCAGAAAUUAGUAAUAAAUAUCUGCUUAAAGACUACAAAUCGCGCCACACAUGAAGCGGAAAAAAUACAACAAUGCUCAGACUUUGCUCCUUUAAUGUCUUUAGUCUGAAGAUCUCAGAAGUUUGUCUAUUAAGAAUUCCACCAGCUGAUGGCCAUCCUUGACUGUUACAGUUGGGCAAUUCAGGCGUUUAUGAUGCCUGAUUGUAAGAUGUUGAAGAGGUUUGUCCGAGGUCACAAGGACAGCCUAUGUCAGACACACAUGGUGACCAUAAACAUUUUCAGCUCUCAGGACAAAACCGGUAUCUUGUUCUGUGUGCAGUGCAUAGCUGAGCUCUUAUAGCAGUCAAAGUCCAUAAGCUUUGCUAUGGUGAAAAGAAAAAUGUAUUCUAUUGAGUAAUAAUAAAAUUAUACUGAUGUCAAAUAAAACAAACACUGCUAACAGAACGAUUAACUGCUUCCGUGUCUGACAAGUCACGUUCUUCUUACAGAAACAGUUCAUGUCUCUGAAUUUUUCAUGAGCGGGAAACAGCUUUCUAGCCUGCUAGUUUAAUUGUCAUGAUGAUUUAAAAAGCAAACAAAUGUUCCCGGCAACAAAAAUUGGCGCCAUACAAAGUAAAAGGAUUACUGAAAACGAGAAAAGAACAGGUAAGGCAUGUCAGCAUCCUCGAGGCCAAUUUAUUCUUCUUUGUUGUAAAUUAGAGGUGUACCCAUUAACAUCUCAAACAGAACUGGAAAAUGAAGGCCAGCAGAGAUGUACUUGCUGAAUGGCUUUGCAGGGUAUCUGACCCAGCCCGCAGAGUGCUGCAGCAGGUUCCUUGCGCUCAGCGCGAGCCUGGUUUCAUCUGUCUGUAACUGCUCUCUUCUGUCACUUUUGUCAGCAGCAAGGGGCGCGUCGUUGUGCCAAGCGCUGCCGUGCUUCUGGCGUCCCGCUCCGCAGCCGCGGCGGAGCCCUCCUCUCCCAACAGCAAGUAGAGAGCUGCGCUGGGCGAGAGGCUGCGUCGCUCCUGAGAGCCGUGCCUGCCUCCGUGCGGGGCUUCCUCAGAGCAGCGCAGCUAUGUCUGCACUGCAGCUGAUGCAGGGAGUAGCAGUAAUUUUUCCCUCUUUCAGGAACUGCGUGAGACCAGGAGUUAAAAACAAGGACGGGCCUGGCUGGAGGGAGAGCGGAGGAGGAUCAGCCUGGGAGAACAAGAUCCAGUGCAGCCUUCAGAAGGACAGAGUACACAGAGCUGGCGAUGGCCUCUUCUCCCCUUUCCGCGAGCAUCUCUUCAUAUGCAGUCAUCAGACUUUUUUUUCAUUACUGCUUUGAAGAACAAACCCGUACUUGUUUUAACAAGUCCCAUCACGGAAGAUGUUAUUCUACGCUCUCCACCCACACAGCCCUGGGAUUUAUUUUCAUUUGAGAGCUUGUUAAACAUAGCAGCAGUCAGCUGAAGAAACCAGUGUUCCAGGACACAAAGGAUUCACACCUAUAAAUCAGGAACUUUAGCAGUGGGAAAGGACCAUCGUUGCUUUGAAAUGGAACGGUCAGUAGCACUCUUCAUAGCUACAAGAGGUUGGCUUUAGUUUUUGGUUGUGUGUUCUCUGUUCACACCCAGUGACUAAUCACAUUGUAUCUAUUUAGGUUCAUGUGUUCUCUGUCCACCUUUCCUAUAGAUAGGCCUAGGGGGAGGGUAGAAAAAUAAAAAGCAUUUGACAAUGGCUGAAGUGACCAACUUGCAGUAGAAUUCAAUCCUGUGGUAGGAUGCAAGGGACCAGAUUUCACCCCAUCUCAUCCAUGUGGGUGUUUGUGUCGCUGCAGCAGCACUUAACCCAUGACCGCGUGCGGUCACCUUCACAGAUGGCCCCAAGCCAUGCCGGGGUCAGCCAGCUGCAGCAAAGAGCAGGACAUGCUUCUCUCCCCUCGCCCUCGCAGCGGCUCGCUGCUGCACACAGGACAGCUAUUUCCCUUAGCACCUGAUGCAUUUUCUUAAGCCAGUGGCUCACAGCUGUGAAGCAGGCCGAGAUGAGGCUCAGCCUAGCAGUGACGUUGACAUUCAGAGGCACCGAAUUCAUCACGAGGUUCGCACCACGGUUUCCCCCCGAGGCAGCGUCCCACCAGCCUCGGGAAAGGGCUUUUAAUUUUAAUGUUUGUGCACGUUUCUUUGCAGUUUUUCAGUGUGCUUAAGAAAGUGUCUAUUAAGGGAGACAUUACAAGUUUAGUAUGAAACUUCUGGGAUAUCUGAAACGUGAAUAUUGUGAAGACUUGUUAUUCCAGUCAGAGGUAUUUGGAAAUAUUUAUGCCAGUCAGAGAGACAGCUUAAUAUUUAGGAAUUAGCCACUCACAUUCUGGGUCAGCCCGUGAAUAACAACUUCCUUUCUCUUCUGCCUUGUACAGUUUUGCCCUACUGGACUCUAGAACAGAAUUUAUACCCCUGCAUCAAGAAAGUUCUGAAUUUUUUACUUUGCUUAUUUUUUGCCUUUGUAAAAUAUUUUAGCAGCAUCAGCUGGGCAGGGAUGUUGAAGCUAUUUCCUGAGACAGAACUGCUUGCUCCAAGGGUGCAUUUUUUUUCCCUAAAUAUAGUUUUUCCAACUGCAUAAAGACAUAACUAAAAUAAAAUUCUUUCUCCUUUCAUUCCCUCACUGUGGCUACAGUGUAUUUUGUGAUCUCAAGUAGCAGGGAAGCUCAACUGUCCAAAAGAGGAACUUCAAAAAUGUUUUUAGCAGCAGUGAUUGAGUCUGUGGUGUUCAGGAAACAUCUCCUGCGCGGCUCCCCGCUCCAGCCAGUGCUGCUAUUUCUGAUUUAGGAUUAAUCAGCGUUUCCUCUAAGGUAAAGAAAACGUGCUCCUGCAAUUUAACAAUUCAGAAACUGCGGCUCUUCCAUUCAUGCAAUCCCUACUGGCAAGAGGAGCAGGGCAGUGAGUCACCUGGUCCAUAGGCCCGCACGUCCGUCUGUCUGUCUGCAACUGAGCCGGCCUCAUGUUAUCCACCGGCAAUCAGUUUUGCCAUUAUUUAGAACUGUGCAAGAUCACACACGCAGAGAAGCACCGUUCUGGAAAGACAAAUCCGAGACACUGGAUUUCGACUCGAUUCUAAGUUUCCCCAGAGCAAGCGGGUGUUCAGGUCUGGGACCAGGGCUGGAUCCAGCGCCCGCUGCGAUGCCGCCCUCCGUUCAGACCCAGAGAACCCAUCCACAUCUCACUGUCAUGAGAAACAGAGAAAGGAUGUCGGAAUCCACCAACCUCGUCCCGCAGCACAAGUGAAUGACCUUCGAACAACGUGAAGCAGGUUGAAUUUACAUUUUACUUCAAAAAAAACAAAAAAAAAAAAGAAAAGAAAAAGGGAAAGUACAUACAUGAGGGGAAAAUGGGGUGAACAACACUUAUCUGAAACCAGGUUUCUACCAUUUUUACCUACAGUUACCAACUGCGCUUGAAUCGGCAGGGCUCUUGCCAGCUGUCGCACACUUGCUUACAAUACGGACAGGACUGUGGGUCAAGGAAACAUUUUCAAAGUUGAGGCCCAAAUGGAAAUAGUAAGAUAUCAUACACAGUGUAAGUUUAUAGUACACAGCAUUUUUUUUUUUAAAUGACGUAACGCAACAGCAGGAAGGAGUAGUAGUAGUUAACAGUUACUAACACUAGAAUAAUCAAAUUUGUAUGUUAUACAUAUACAGCAACUAACUGCUUUACAAAAAAAGCAAAAUAAUACAAUAUAUUGUCACAUGUAUUUACAGUGUAGUAAAUAUACUUUUCUGUCAAAUUUUACACAAAAACUAUUUACAGGUGAAUAUACUGCAUUAAAAAAAAAAUUGUGGGACCAACACUAAAAGUGACUUUCUGUGGUAGGUUUGUUGCAUAACAAUAAGACGUGCUUCAUUACACUUGAAAAAAACUAACCUUAGAAUGAAACAGAAAAAGCCCUAAAACCUACAACCCAGUUAGGAAUAGAGCACUGGAACGCGCCCAGGUGCUCAGUCCACGAUACUUAUUGGAAAUGUUUCCUGUUCCUGGAAACCUCAUGCACAUUAAAGCAGAAACAUUGGCAUAAUUAACAGGUAGGUUAUGCACUAUCCAAAUACUACCGAGUUAUCUUUAAGUCAGGGAAAAUACAAACACAAACAAAAUGUUGAUCGUCUUUACAGUACUGAACUGUAGUUAGUGCGUAAUGGAUAACAUGUUCUAAAACAGGGGUGUCAAACAUACAGUCCCCAGGACGUAGUUACAUGGUCCGCAUGUUAAAAUCGGAUUUUUCUCAAUCUUAAGUUUUCACUUCGAAGUACACAGACUCCACGGCUGCAGCACCAGCCCUCAGGGAGCGACUCGAGCAGCCCUCGCAGCAGCGACUGCCCGGUCGCCGGCAGCCUGCCCGCCCCAGCCACUGGCAGGUCGGAGCUCCCAGACCUCUCUCCCGCUAAUUAGGUCAGGUUUCAGGCCCACAGCGUCACCAGCAACGACCUGCUGAUCGCUAGGAGCGUAAGCGCGGUAACGGGGUGAGGAGAGAACGGAAGCAGGCCGGACUGGGAACGGAGAGCGGCGCUCACGGGGACGAAACGGAGCAGGAUGGAGAAUAUUCCAAACGGGAAAAGAGAACAAAUAAAGGAGGAUGUGAGAAAGAAAACAAAAAGGCAAAGUAACAGCAGCAGCUGUUACAGGGAGCAGGCUCCGUGACGAAAGUGACAGUAAGGCACUGAACAACGAAUUACUAAUAGAAGUUCAAGCGUUCCAGAAAGGCCGUGGUUUCCCCCCUGAUCUAAGCGCAAGCUUCCCAACUGCUGGUACCGGGAGAGAACGUUCCUGUGUGUCGGGCACACGUGAUCCUGAAUUAAACCUUGGCCGCCAACUGUCACGACUCCCAGCUUCAGCCCCCACUACCUAACGUGUUUGACACCCCUGCUCUAAGAAAGUUCAGGUCCUCUCACUGAACCACGCAGUGAAAACAUUAAAUGACUCCCCCUCUUUCCAGGAAAUAGAAUAAAUUUAAUUUGGUUGUCUUACUUUAAGACGACACCCGUUUUUUUCAGCUGGGACUGAGAGCCUGGAGUAGUUCUAGGUCUCACACGAAAGGUAGUUUUAAUCACUGUCCACUUUGAUUUCACACUAUAUGUAUUUCAAAGAAUGCGCUAAUUCUAAUUUAGGGACACUUUUUUUUAUAUAGGCAACGCAAACUAUUGAGAGAGUUGCUCUCCAGUGCACCCAGUCCAAACAAGACGGAUUUGGUAGUUCAUCUGGAAUUACUCGUUCUGUUUAAAGAAAAUCUGCUCCUAGGAAAACCAACUGAAAACGACGUCUUUCUAACAGCAGAUUGCCUUUACAGGAGAUUCUUUUUUCCUCCUAGCUACAAAUCUUCAGGCUUCUACAAUUCAUUGUCGUCAGCGAAACGGAAAGGGCGGGAAUGAGCUUGAUUCAGUAUGAGCAAGUGCAAACCGGCAGCGAUGCGGAAGGUGGCUCUUAGCGAUCUGCUGUAUGAGAUGAGAACGGUUUUUACAUCGGCGACUCCCGACGUUUCACACGCACAGCAGCGCAGGGCCUGGCACCAGUCACUGCUCUAUUCCUACGUUCAGUCCUAGCCUCACAAUCCCUUUCAUAGUUCUGUAUCGGUUCCGUAACCACAUUUCUACUGCAGCUCCUACGCGACCAAGAAUAAAAAAGUUUGGUUAAUUGCAUGAGUCGUCGUCUUUUCCAACGUGUCUAUUUCGAGACUGCUAAUUCUAAGUUUUCCUCUUGUUUUGGCAAACUAUUUGCAUAUUAAGUUUGUGUUCAUAGUUUUUCCAGGACUGUAAACAAAUUAAAGAAAUUAAAUUGUUAUUUUAUGAAUCAAUACAAUAAAGGUAUUUUUAUUUACAUAAAUGUUACAUUGUUACUGUGUGGAUACAUGUGAAUUAUGUGCUAUAUCAAUAAAAUC